This 1057-nucleotide long non-coding RNA is filed under the name Brassica napus (rape). RNAcentral describes it as "long non-coding RNA (BNAP_LNC007915)". The record is from RNAcentral. Lineage: Eukaryota; Viridiplantae; Streptophyta; Magnoliopsida; Brassicales; Brassicaceae.
UCUCCUCCCUCUGCUUCACCAAUAAAUACGUAGAGAGAGAGAGUUUUUGAGAACAUCGUCGUCACCAUGCCUUCCGAGCUAACUCAGGAAGAACGAUCCAAACUCACCCAAUCCAUAUCCGAGUUUCACACUUACCACCUCGGUCCCGGAAGCUGCUCCUCGCUCCACGCGCAGCGAAUCCACGCGCCGCCGGAGAUCGUCUGGUCAGUCGUCCGUCAAUUCGACAAACCGCAGACCUACAAGCACUUCAUCAAGUCCUGCUCCGUCGAGGAAGGAUUCGAGAUGCGCGUCGGUUGCACGCGCGACGUGAUCGUGAUCAGCGGGCCCUAAUUCCAAAACCCCACCCCUUAACUCUAAACCCUAAGGUUUGGAUUAAUUAACCCAAGGGGUAUAAGUGUAUAUUUACCUCUUUAAUGAAACCUAUUUUUGUGACUUUGAGCCUUGAGUGCUACUUUAGGAACAAAAACUUGGUUUGGUGAUAUCAUAGUCUUUUUCUCUUAUAUAUAUAGAUAUAUAUUAUAUCUGCUUAGGCUCCGUUUAGGCGUCCGCGUAUACAGCUAUACGCUAGGCGCUGGGUCACCGCACAGUGAGCGCAUAGCGUAUUUUAGAACACUGUUAUUUGCCUUUAAAUGUUUUGUUUAUUUCCAUAUAUACCCUUCAUCUUCCCUCAAAUUCGAUCUCUCUCCUCCCUCUGCUUCACCAAUAAAUACGUAGAGAGAGAGAGAGAGUUUUUGAGAUCAUCGUCGUCGUCACCAUGCCUUCCGAGCUAACUCAGGAAGAACGAUCCGAACUCACCCAAUCCAUCUCCGAGUUUCACACUUACCACCUCGGUCCGGGAAGCUGCUCCUCGCUCCACGCGCAGAGAAUCCACGCGCCGCCGGAGAUCGUCUGGUCAGUCGUCCGUCAAUUCGACAAACCGCAGACCUACAAGCACUUCAUCAAGUCCUGCUCCGUCGAAAAAGCAUUCGAGAUGCGCGUCGGGUGCACGCGCGACGUGAUCGUGAUCAGCGGGUUGCCGGCGAACACGUCGACGGAGAGGCUCGACAUGCUCGACGAC